UGAAUUUAUAUUAAAUAAAGAAGAAGAAGAAAAAACGCAGCUGAGCAACACUGCAGCCAGAGUGGUGGGCAUUGCAUUUACACCACAUUGUGAGUUAAAAGCGUAAAGAUAAUUUUAAAUUAAAGAAAGAAAAGAUUUUAGUAAAAACCACAAACGAAAUUUUUAUGUAAUCUAAUUUUGUACAAAAACACCUCUUCUGACGUCAACAAGCGGGAGUACGGUUUCAUGAAAGUGUAAAACCAAUGCUUUGCACAUCAAACUGUUGAUGGUGUUGCUGUAUUCAUAACAACUGUUCUGGUUCAACUCUUGUGCCAGUGCUGCCAAAUCAACG
This 331-nucleotide long non-coding RNA is filed under the name Ceratitis capitata (Mediterranean fruit fly). RNAcentral's name for it is "uncharacterized LOC105665217, transcript variant X2". Lineage: Eukaryota; Metazoa; Arthropoda; Insecta; Diptera; Tephritidae. The record is from RNAcentral.